CUUGUGUUUAUGGGGACUUCGAG
This 23-nucleotide non-coding RNA is filed under the name Cricetulus griseus (Chinese hamster). Lineage: Eukaryota; Metazoa; Chordata; Mammalia; Rodentia; Cricetidae. The record is from RNAcentral.